UACGAAGGUGGCAAGCGUUGUUCGGAUUCACUGGGCGUAAAGGGUGCGUAGGUGGCUGGGAAAGUUUGAUGUGAAAGCUCAGGGCUUAACCCUGAAAUGGCAUUGAAUACUGCCUGGCUGGAGGUUUGGAGGGGGGACUGGAAUUCUUGGUGUAGCAGUGAAAUGCGUAGAUAUCAAGAGGAACACCAGUGGCGAAGGCGAGUUCCUGGACAACACCUGACACUGAGGCACGAAAGCCGGGGGAGCAAACAGG
Molecule: ribosomal RNA, 253 nt
Filed under: uncultured bacterium
Lineage: Bacteria
Description: partial 16S ribosomal RNA
Rfam family: Bacterial small subunit ribosomal RNA
Source: RNAcentral